RNAcentral lists this ribosomal RNA (489 nucleotides) under uncultured bacterium. RNAcentral describes it as "partial 16S ribosomal RNA". It matches the Rfam family "Bacterial small subunit ribosomal RNA", at positions 29 to 506 of the family's 1533-position model. The record is from RNAcentral.
AUGAACGCUGGCUACAGGCUUAACACAUGCAAGUCGAGGGGAAACGACGGGGAAGCUUGCUUCCCCGGGCGUCGACCGGCGCACGGGUGAGUAACGCGUAUCCAACCUGCCUCUGACUGAGGGAUAACCCGUCGAAAGUCGGCCUAAUACCUCAUGGUAUCGUCUGCGGGCAUCCAACGACGAUUAAAGAUUUCAUCGGUCAGGGAUGGGGAUGCGUCUGAUUAGCUUGUUGGCGGGGUAACGGCCCACCAAGGCUACGAUCAGUAGGGGUUCUGAGAGGAAGGUCCCCCACAUUGGAACUGAGACACGGUCCAAACUCCUACGGGAGGCAGCAGUGAGGAAUAUUGGUCAAUGGGCGAGAGCCUGAACCAGCCAAGUAGCGUGCAGGAAGACGGCCCUAUGGGUUGUAAACUGCUUUUAUGCGGGGAUAAAGUGAGGGACGUGUCCCUCAUUGCAGGUACCGCAUGAAUAAGGACCGGCUAAUUCCGU